AAUACGUUCCCGGGCCUUGUACACACCGCCCGUCACACCACGAAAGUCGGCAACACCCGAAGCCGGUGGCCCAACCCGUAAGGAGGGAGCCGUCGAAGGUGGGGUCGGUGAUUGGGGUG
Molecule: ribosomal RNA, 119 nt
Filed under: uncultured bacterium
Lineage: Bacteria
Description: partial 16S ribosomal RNA
Rfam family: Bacterial small subunit ribosomal RNA
Source: RNAcentral